UGGGGUGUGGCUCAGUGGUAGAGCACUUUCCCAACAUGAUGAGGCCCUGGGUUCAAUUCCAGGACCACAA
Molecule: transfer RNA, 70 nt
Filed under: Marmota monax (woodchuck)
Lineage: Eukaryota; Metazoa; Chordata; Mammalia; Rodentia; Sciuridae
Description: tRNA.Val
Source: RNAcentral